Molecule: ribosomal RNA, 464 nt
Filed under: uncultured bacterium
Lineage: Bacteria
Description: partial 16S ribosomal RNA
Rfam family: Bacterial small subunit ribosomal RNA
Source: RNAcentral
CUACGGGUGGCAGCAGUGGGGAAUAUUGGACAAUGGGGGAAACCCUGAUCCAGCAAUGCCGCGUGUGUGAAGAAGGCCUGCGGGUUGUAAAGCACUUUCGGUUGGGAGGACUGCUUCUAGCACUAAUAUUGUUGGAAGUUGACGUUACCUUCAGAAGAAGCACCGGCUAACUCCGUGCCAGCGGCCGCGGUAAUCGGAGGGUGCAAGCGUUAAUCGGAAUUACUGGGCGUAAAGCGCGCGUAGGCGGCUAGAUCAGUCGGGUGUGAAAGCCCCGGGCUUAACCUGGGAACUGCAUCCGAUACUGUCUAGCUUGAGUACAGGAGAGGAGAGUGGAAUUCCACAUGUAGCGGUGAAAUGCGUAGAUAUGUGGAGGAACACCAAUGGCGAAGGCAGCUCUCUGGCCUGAUACUGACGCUGAGGUGCGAAAGCGUGGGGAGCAAACAGGAUUAGAUACCCGAGUAGUC